Molecule: ribosomal RNA, 253 nt
Filed under: uncultured bacterium
Lineage: Bacteria
Description: partial 16S ribosomal RNA
Rfam family: Bacterial small subunit ribosomal RNA
Source: RNAcentral
UACAGAGGGUGCGAGCGUUAAUCGGAGUUACUGGGCGUAAAGGGCGCGUAGGCGGUUUAAUAAGAUUGAUGUGAAAUCCCUGGGCUUAACCUAGGAACUGCAUCGAUGACUGUUAAGCUAGAGUAUUGUAGAGGGUAGUGGAAUUUCCGGUGUAGCGGUGAAAUGCGUAGAGAUCGGAAGGAACACCAGUGGCGAAGGCGGCUACCUGGACAAAUACUGACGCUGAGGCGCGAAAGCGUGGGGAUCAAACAGG